RNAcentral lists this ribosomal RNA (395 nucleotides) under uncultured bacterium. RNAcentral's name for it is "bacterial SSU rRNA". It matches the Rfam family "Bacterial small subunit ribosomal RNA", at positions 505 to 898 of the family's 1533-position model. The record is from RNAcentral.
GUGUCAGCAGCCGCGGUAACACGAACCGUACGAACGUUAUUCGGAAUCACUGGGCUUAAAGGGUGCGUAGGCGGCUUGGUAAGUUGGGUGUGAAAUCCCUCGGCUUAACCGAGGAAUUGCGCUCAAAACUGCCAGGCUAGAGGAAGUCAGAGGUGAGUGGAACUUAGGGUGGAGCGGUGAAAUGCGUUGAUAUCCUAAGGAACACCAGUGGCGAAAGCGACUCACUGGGGCUUUUCUGACGCUGAGGCACGAAAGCUAGGGGAGCGAACGGGAUUAGAUACCCCGGUAGUCCUAGCCGUAAACGAUGAGCACUGGAUCGGAGACCACUCCAUAGGUUUCUGGUCGUAGCGAAAGUGUUAAGUGCUCCGCCUGGGGAGUAUGGUCGCAAGGCUGAA